UUGCCUUGUUUGAAAUUCAUUUCAUGCAUUUGGUUUUCAGUUGCUGAGUCAGCAAACACUUUUCCCCUUUUCCCUCACUUCCACUCAAUUCUGGUUUUAGUACUCCAUAUUUCGUGAUUUUCAUCUUCCUUUUCUCUCUCCUCUCUCUUUUUCCUUCAUUGAAACGCCGAUUUCCAUUGAAAGAGUUUCUUCUCCUCCAUAAGAGCUGAGAUUAAUGGAGAAUGAAAAAAAUGCCAAAUUUGGUUUCCUCCAUUAUUGAAGCAACUUUGAGGCAGGGCCUUCUUUGCUCUGGGUUGGAUCAUCAAAGGUGGUAACCUUCUUCCUUCUAAUGAUGUUGAUAUUCAUAAAAAAAUCUAAGGUUUCUUCAACUACUGCUUGAAAUCAAGGAGAAAAAUGAUUUUCUGGGGUGAAAAGGGAAGUUGUCGACAUUGUUCCUAGCUUAACUAGGCCUGAAGAUGGAAUGCAGUCCCUUGCCCAAUAUUCCAAAGUGGUUUUGCAAAAACAAUCUGACCUUUUGCGGGAUCCUAGGUUGAGGUUCCAUAUGUUUAGGAAGCCAAGGCAAGAGCUGGGUUUAAAGGACAAAUUGAGAAGAGGCAGUAGGAGAGAGAUGAAUUCCAGAAAAUGGCUAUCAGCAACCAGAAAGAAAAGAUCCAGGCCGCUGAGGUUUUCUCAAACAUUUAUGACCCAUUUAGGCUGGAAGAUGAGCUUGAUCUGCUUGCUGUUGCUGCUGAGGAGGAACGUAAACAAAAAGUUGUCAGUAUUAUUGGAUUUUGGAUAGGUAGCCCUUGCAUUUGUCGGUUAGCCCUGAUACAACUAAGCUGCAGCAACUCUGACCUCCCCUUCCUUCAGUAGUAAGCUAUGCUUUACGCACCUCCUCUGCCUGCUAUACUAGCCAUUUGGAGAAGAUCUUUAUAGUGAACUUUCGAGCUCGGAAUAUGUAAACUAUUUUGUGGAGACUGCAGGUAUCUCAAACGCUUGAUAACCAGCCAAUUUUUUUUUAACAAGAAUUUUAGUUAUCUUAUCACUUUGUUGAACUAUUUUUUUUAGCAAGUGCUAAUUUUGAAUUAGCUGGUUAUUUAUGGUUAAUUUUCGAUACAUUGUGGAGGAAUGGAGAUCCUGUUUGCAGGAAUCGAGCCCAGUCAACGUGUUCCUCUAAUUUAAAUAUUGAGUCAUACUGCUUUAGCCGUGUACGACGGUGACAGUAGCCGAGUACAACCUUGACACACACAAGUCUAGAAGUUUGGGUUAACAUUCAAGAAAGAUAAGAUCCAGGCCACUGAGGUUCUCUCAAAGAUUUAUGACCCAUUUAGGCUGGAAGACGAGCUUGAUCUGCUUGUUGUUGCUGCUGAGGAGGAACACAAAACAAAAAACUCAGUAUUAUGGAUGUGUUCACGAUUAAAGAAAUUUAGCUUGCAUUUCUUGCUUGUGGUGGGGGGCUUCUGCUACAAAUGUUACUCACUACUUACAUUAUCCAAAUCAAUUUGUUCAUCUGUUUAUUUAGAGGGAGGAUUUGUGAAGGGUACUGGAUCUGUUAUUGGUCGAAGAGCACCAUGCUCGGACUUUUUUGAUCCACCGACCAGGCAGUUUAGGAAGAGGGAAGGGUGGGCUGAAAUGAUAAGCGUCAUGCAUACCAGGUUGUAUAUGUGUCAGACAAUACAGAGUUGAGGUAGAAGUACUAGAAGAGUUGAAACCAAGUAAGACAAAAGCUCAUGUCUUACAGAAGAGGGAAAAGCUAGAUGUAAUAUGUCACUGAUACAUGUAAUUCCUUUCCAACAUUAGAUGGUGAAACAAAACAACUUAUUUAGGCAAUUUGGCUCUCCUUGCGUGUUGGUCAUUUGGCUAAUUUUUGGAGAUUAAGUUAGUCAAAUACUCUAAUUCAAUGUAUGUGCCUUUGGUAGAAGAAAACUCCUUUUGGUGAUCUAUUUAUUUAGAAAAUUUCCCUCAGUUUAAAA
Chenopodium quinoa (quinoa) is the source of this 1952-nucleotide RNA transcript. RefSeq lists it as uncharacterized. The record is from RefSeq and is a predicted model, not a curated record. NCBI's taxonomy places the organism in Eukaryota, Viridiplantae, Streptophyta, Magnoliopsida, Caryophyllales, Amaranthaceae. The transcript has 10 exons.